This 391-nucleotide unclassified non-coding RNA is filed under the name Hevea brasiliensis (rubber tree). Lineage: Eukaryota; Viridiplantae; Streptophyta; Magnoliopsida; Malpighiales; Euphorbiaceae. The record is from RNAcentral.
GCGGAAACCAUUAUUAAAAUUCUAUCAGCCAAAUUAAUCAGGACCUUCUAAGCAAUAGGAUAAUUACCUAUUGCAGUAAGUAUAAGAAUUUCCACACACAUUCAAAAAGUUAUUACAAUAGGAAAAUUAUCAGCCAUGAGAUGACAGGUUAUUGCCCAAACCCAGAAGUAAGCAGGUGCAUGUUCUUCCAUCUAGAUAACAUUAAGCUAAUACAAAAAGCAACACAUUUCUUAUCCAAUUACCUCUGGCAAGGACCCUACCACUGAACAAGUUAAACACACAUUUCAUGUAAGACUCUAAAUCACAAGUUGCAGGCCUGACUGAUAAAUCAUUAAACUGAAAUAUCAGUUUCCUAGGCCACUGAUAUAUUUCUGCAAAAAGAUUGAUUCUC